GAUGAACGCUGGCGGCGUGCCUAAUACAUGCAGGUCGAGCGAACAGAUAAGGAGCUUGCUCCUUUGACGUUAGCGGCGGACGGGUGAGUAACACGUGGGUAACCUACCUAUAAGACUGGGAUAACUUCGGGAAACCGGAGCUAAUACCGGAUAACAUUUGGAACCGCAUGGUUCUAAAGUGAAAGAUGGUUUUGCUAUCACUUAUAGAUGGACCCGCGCCGUAUUAGCUAGUUGGUAAGGUAACGGCUUACCAAGGCAACGAUACGUAGCCGACCUGAGAGGGUGAUCGGCCACACUGGAACUGAGACACGGUCCAGACUCCUACGGGAGGCAGCAGUAGGGAAUCUUCCGCAAUGGGCGAAAGCCUGACGGAGCAACGCCGCGUGAGUGAUGAAGGGUUUCGGCUCGUAAAACUCUGUUAUUAGGGAAGAACAAAUGUGUAAGUAACUGUGCACGUCUUGACGGUACCUAAUCAGAAAGCCACGGCUAACUACGUG
Molecule: ribosomal RNA, 497 nt
Filed under: uncultured bacterium
Lineage: Bacteria
Description: partial 16S ribosomal RNA
Rfam family: Bacterial small subunit ribosomal RNA
Source: RNAcentral